This 539-nucleotide ribosomal RNA is filed under the name uncultured bacterium. RNAcentral describes it as "bacterial SSU rRNA". It matches the Rfam family "Bacterial small subunit ribosomal RNA", at positions 776 to 1314 of the family's 1533-position model. The record is from RNAcentral.
AAAUAGAUACCCCGGUAGUCCAUGCCGUAAACGUUGGGCGCUAGAUGUGGGGACCAUUCCACGGUUUCCGUGUCGCAGCUAACGCAUUAAGCGCCCCGCCUGGGGAGUACGGCCGCAAGGCUAAAACUCAAAGGAAUUGACGGGGGCCCGCACAAGCGGCGGAGCAUGCGGAUUAAUUCGAUGCAACGCGAAGAACCUUACCAAGGCUUGACAUAUACGAGAACGCUCUAGAAAUAGAGAACUCUUUGGACACUCGUAUACAGGUGGUGCAUGGUUGUCGUCAGCUCGUGUCGUGAGAUGUUGGGUUAAGUCCCGCAACGAGCGCAAUCCUCGUUCUAUGUUGCCAGCGGUUCGGCCGGGAACUCAUAGGAGACUGCCGGGGUCAACUCGGAGGAAGGUGGGGAUGACGUCAAAUCAUCAUGCCCCUUAUGUCUUGGGCUUCACGCAUGCUACAAUGGCCGGUACAAAGGGCUGCAAUACCGUAAGGUGGAGCGAAUCCCAAAAGGCCGGUCUCAGUUCGGAUUGAGGUCUGCAACUCG